This 770-nucleotide ribosomal RNA is filed under the name uncultured Bacteroidota bacterium. RNAcentral describes it as "bacterial SSU rRNA". It matches the Rfam family "Bacterial small subunit ribosomal RNA", at positions 563 to 1338 of the family's 1533-position model. The record is from RNAcentral. Lineage: Bacteria; Pseudomonadati; Bacteroidota.
AAGGGAGCGUAGGCGGGCUGUUAAGUCAGCGGUAAAAUGUCAAGGCCCAACCUUGUCCUGCCGUUGAAACUGGCGGUCUUGAAUGCACACAAGGGAGAUGGAAUUCGUCGUGUAGCGGUGAAAUGCUUAGAUAUGACGAAGAACUCCGAUUGCGAAGGCAGUCUCCUGGGGUGCUAUUGACGCUGAGGCUCGAAAGUGCGGGUAUCAAACAGGAUUAGAUACCCUGGUAGUCCGCACAGUAAACGAUGAAUGCUGGUUCUUGGCGAUAUACAGUCAGGAACUGAGGGAAACCAUUAAGCAUUCCACCUGGGGAGUACGCCGGCAACGGUGAAACUCAAAGGAAUUGACGGGGGCCCGCACAAGCGGAGGAACAUGUGGUUUAAUUCGAUGAUACGCGAGGAACCUUACCCGGGCUUGAAUUGCAGCUGCAUAGGGCAGAGAUGCCCUUUCCCUUCGGGGCUGCUGUGAAGGUGCUGCAUGGUUGUCGUCAGCUCGUGCCGUGAGGUGUCGGCUUAAGUGCCAUAACGAGCGCAACCCUUGCUGUCAGUUGCCAUCAGGUAAUGCUGGGCACUCUGGCGGGACUGCCAUCGCAAGAUGUGAGGAAGGUGGGGAUGACGUCAAAUCAGCACGGCCCUUACGUCCGGGGCUACACACGUGUUACAAUGGGGAGUACAGAAAGCCGGCCCGUGGCGACACUGGUCCAAUCCUAAAAGCUCCUCUCAGUUCGGACUGGAGUCUGCAACCCGACUCCACGAAGCUGGAUUCGCUAG